RNAcentral lists this ribosomal RNA (457 nucleotides) under uncultured bacterium. Its description in RNAcentral is "bacterial SSU rRNA". It matches the Rfam family "Bacterial small subunit ribosomal RNA", at positions 1 to 507 of the family's 1533-position model. The record is from RNAcentral.
CGAUACGAGUUUGAUCAUGGCUCAGAACGAACGCUGGCGGCAGGCCUAACACAUGCAAGUCGAGCGCGCCCUUCGGGGUGAGCGGCGGACGGGUGAGUAACGCGUGGGAACGUGCCCUUUGCUACGGAAUAGUCUCGGGAAACUGGGGGUAAUACCGUAUGUGCCCUUCGGGGGAAAGAUUUAUCGGCAAAGGAUCGGCCCGCGUUGGAUUAGGUAGUUGGUGGGGUAAUGGCCCACCAAGCCGACGAUCCAUAGCUGGUUUGAGAGGAUGAUCAGCCACACUGGGACUGAGACACGGCCCAGACUCCUACGGGAGGCAGCAGUGGGGAAUCUUAGACAAUGGGCGCAAGCCUGAUCUAGCCAUGCCGCGUGAGCGAUGAAGGCCUUAGGGUUGUAAAGCUCUUUCGUGGGGAAGAUAAUGACUGUACCCCAAGAAGAAGCCCCGGCUAACUCCGUG